UCUUCCUGACGCUGCCACUGCUCUGCAUGUCUGGGAGGGUGUUUUGUGGAUAAUGACUCGUCUUAUCUGCCUGGGACAGAGGCUCAGGGAGCCGGCCUGUAACUGAGUAACUGAUUCCUCCCUGCCGCUCAGCCGUGCCUGAAGGCAGAUACAAAGUCAGCCUAGACAACUCCUGUCUGGGCAAGUCUUCUCUCCUUUGAUCCUUGGCACAAGCCUGUGAGGUGGGAAUCCAAUGCCGUCACCCAUUUUACAGGUGGGGAGACUGAGGCUCCAGCGAGGACGAGAGACUUAUACUCAGACUGAGGUUCAUGGGUGGCAGGUUUGAAUCUGGGAUGUUCUCCUUUUUUAUUGCCCCAUAAAGUUUCCUGGCAAACACGUGAUGCAAGGCCAUGACACAAAAGCCUAUUCAUUUCUAAAAAUAAGACUGACUUGUCCCCUCGUCCUGAUAAAGAAAUCUCUCACACUUUACAGCCAGGCUGGGGCCGACCCAGCCUCCCCACUUGCACAAGGAGAACACAGGUGAGUUUUCAUUUACUGUGGACUUGCCUCCGAGCCCUCUCCUCCUUCUUGGCUCAUGCCACGCUGCCUGCCCUCCACCGGCAGACGGAAGACACUUCCUAUUCUCUCACCUCCCUGGGCUGAGCCAGGUCUUGGAUACUGCCUUUAUUGUGAUGGGUGCUGGCGUGCUGGGAGGCAUGUCUGGCUCGUGGGCAACAUGGGUCCCUCGGCAGCUGCUCCUCUGUCCACACAGUCACUCUGUUAGAUGUUCACGCUGACCCUGUGCUGUGAAUGUGGUCCCCAAAAGCCAUUGCCACCACACCCUCUGCUGGUCACACAGGCUGGCUUGGGAGGGGAGUCGCCUCCUGGGGGUCACAUUUGUGAGACUGGCCUGUCAGUCUCACCUUCAGAGCAUGCCUCCCACCGUCCACUCGGCAGGUCCCAUCAGGCCCACCCAGGAGCCUGCCCAGGAGCCCUUGGAGCGUGGCCUGCCUCGUUCACUGGAUCCAGUCUUCUGGGACCCAGAAGGGAAGUUGGCAAGCAUUCCGAGAACCUAGGAUGCGCCACGUCAUUGUCCCAGCCCUGGGGACACAGGAGUGUCAGUCCCCACCUGCCAGGAGUGAACAUUCUGUAGGAGAAUGCACGAGGAAGAGAGUACAAGCAAGUGGAACUCAGUUCAUCUGAUGAUCUGCCCACAUCCGCUGAGUCACUCCUAAUGGCCCCUCAGAUGUCAUUUUCUUACUAAGACAUUUGGAAAUUUUUCUGCCUGUGAAUCAGAAGCAAACACUGUAAUUCACCAGUCUUCUCUAAGUUAUGCAAGGAACUUUGAUGUGCUCAGAAGUGGAAGCUCAGGGAGGAUGAAAUCAAUGAAUUCUCUGAGAACUUUGUUUUUCUCCUACUUGAAGUUCGUUUGCCAAGUGGAGGAUGCGAAGAGCUCAGUCUGACCACUGGAGUCACCUCUGCAGGAAGUCUGGGAGCAGCUGAUGUGGGGUUUCUUGAUGACACUGGUUUUCCUUAUCAUCUUGGUCCUGUUCCCAUAAUAGACCCGAGUGUCAUCCAGGAAGGGGCUUUCUGCCACAGCAUCUUGUCGAGGGCUGUUCCUCACAACGAAGGGCUGGCCUGAGGGUGCUUAAUCAUCUCCAGGGUCCUCGGGUGUGUGGGGUCGCCCCCGGCGUGCAGGGGACGCCUGCCCUCUGCCCCCCCGGAGCUCAGUUCAGGGCCUAUCACUGUCACCUGCCUUUGUCAC
This 1744-nucleotide long non-coding RNA is filed under the name Bos indicus x Bos taurus (hybrid cattle). RNAcentral describes it as "lncRNA (ENSBIXG00005022075.1)". Lineage: Eukaryota; Metazoa; Chordata; Mammalia; Artiodactyla; Bovidae. The record is from RNAcentral.